GGGAAAGAAGUUUGUGUGGGGACUGUGGGCAGUGAACGCGUUGGGAACAAUAUGGAAAACUGGGAGCUGCCUUGGAAUCUACAGGGCCGGAGAGACCGAGGGGCUCACUAGGUUGACCAGGCUGGUCUUGAACUCCUGGUCUCAAGCCAUCCUCCCACCUCAGCCUCCCAAAGUGCUGGGAUUACAUGCAUGAGCCACCACAUCCAGCCUACCUAAAAUAUUGAAUGCUGUUAAUAAAUCUCCUGAGGCCAGCAUAAGAAGGUGAUGGGCAAAACUAAUGCAGGGUUUCAGUUGUGCAAUUUCACCAUUAGCAAAGCUUUUUGCUGAAAUCUGGCUUUUCAAAGGGAGAGUAUCCAGAAACAGAAGAUGCUGAUCUGGGAGGCUCUUCCUAAUAGAACUGCUGCUUCAGUUUAACUUGAAAAAGCCCACACCCAGUUCCUAAUGACAAACAUCUGAACACCGGGUCUUCCCCUGAGCAAGACCAUGCUAUGCCUCCUGCUCGCUCUGUUCUAUAAGCAACCCACAGAUUGCUCCCUGUGAAGAGGAGCCUGCCAGGGGAGCAGCAUUCCACCAGACCCUGAUUUAGCAAGAUAUUUCCGUAUCAUUCCCCCAACCAGCUGGAAGUCCUCCACUGCUCUUGUGUAAAAAUCUAACUCAUCUCGCUGAAUUUCCUGAUUUAAAAGUCUAAUUCAUUUCACCAAAAGUGUGACAGAAGGAAACCAAGUACACCAUCUCUCUC
RNAcentral lists this long non-coding RNA (739 nucleotides) under Pan troglodytes (chimpanzee). RNAcentral describes it as "lincRNA". The record is from RNAcentral. Lineage: Eukaryota; Metazoa; Chordata; Mammalia; Primates; Hominidae.